GGAUGAAGAACGUAGCUAAAUGCGAUACUUGGUGUGAAUUGCAGAAUCCCGCGAAUCAUCGAGUUUUUGAACGCAAGUUGCGCCCAAAGCCAUUCGGCCGAGGGCACGUCUGCCUGGGUGUCACGCAUCGUUGCCCCCCCAAACUCCGGUUCGGGCGGGGCGGAAGUUGGCCUCCCGUGCGUGCCUGCGCGCGCGGUUAGCCCAAAAGCGAGUCCUCGGCGACGAGCGCCACGACAAUCGGUGGUUUUUUUACCCUCGUUCCUCGUCGUGCGUGUCCCGUCGCCCGAACGCGCUCUUGUGACCCUCACGCGUCGCCUCGGCGGCGCUCCCAACGCGACCCCAGGUCAGGCGGGACUACCCGCUGAGUUUAAGCAUAUCAAUAAGCGGAGGA
RNAcentral lists this unclassified non-coding RNA (391 nucleotides) under soil metagenome. RNAcentral describes it as "partial contains 5.8S ribosomal RNA, internal transcribed spacer 2, and large subunit ribosomal RNA". The stretch from base 2 to 123 matches the Rfam family "5.8S ribosomal RNA", at positions 35 to 154 of the family's 154-position model. The record is from RNAcentral.